GGUAAAAUGGCCGAAUUGUAGGUUGUAAAUUGUAAGUUUAUAUAUGAGUAUAAAACUCUUUUACCA
This 66-nucleotide transfer RNA is filed under the name Tenomerga trabecula. RNAcentral's name for it is "tRNA-Tyr". The record is from RNAcentral. Lineage: Eukaryota; Metazoa; Arthropoda; Insecta; Coleoptera; Cupedidae.